CGGGCCUUGCCAGGGUUUCUGCUGCCCUCUUCCAGCACCAGUGCCUUCUUUUCCAACCCUGGGUUUGUACACAAGUGCCAGGUGCUGGCAAGAGGGCAGCAGGUCACCCCGUGUGCCACUGGGGCAGCCCCACAUGCCCAGGGAUGCUGGGCUCAGGCUCUGGGAGCAGCAGCAUCCCCCUGAUGAGCUCCAUCCGUAUUCCAUAGGAACACGAUCAUACAGACCCCCGGAAUGGACCAACUUCAGGUGGUACUAUGGCGAGGCAGCAACCGUCUGGACCCUGGGCAUCCUGCUGCAUGAGAUGGUCUGCGGGAAGCACCCUUUCAGGAGGGGCAGGAACAUCAGCUGGGCCCAGCUCCCGCUGCCACAACGGCUCUCCCAAGAUUGCCAAGUUCUGAUCAGGCGGUGUUUAUCCCUGCACUACUUGGACAGGCCCUCAUUAGAAGACCUGUUCUGUGAUCCCUGGAUGCAGGAUAUUCAUCAGCCAUAGAAGAAGGGAGAGAGCCACGGGCACAGUGAUGCAGGGACCUGUGACAGCCGGGCCCUGGGCAGAACCCUGACAGCCUGGUGUCACCCCAGGGAAGAAGGAGCCCCUGGAGAAGCUGCACCAGGUGGGGCUGCUGCUGCUGCUGGGGACAUGAAGGACAACAGCAAGGAUGACAACCUCUUCCUCCACCUGGCCAGCGGCAGCUGGCGAUGAUGGACUUUGAUUCUGGCACCUUCUUGAAAGCCAGGCUCCACAGAGAAUUUUCAAGAAGAAUUCUAGGUGGGGUCCAGUCUGGAUCGGGAAGUGCUUGGGACCAGCUGUGGUGUGGAUGGGCCGUGCCCUUGGAGAAGGCUGAGGACAUCGUUUGGGACCAGCUUUUCUUCUGGCAGCAGAUGGUGUGAGCCGGGCUCUGCGGAUGCUGAGGCUGCUCUGGGCUCUGCCAGGGCUCUGCUGGGCUCAGCACCGGGCCGGGAUCAGCCAAAGAAGAAACGAUGUGACCUCCAGCAGAGACUUGAGCAUUUUGGCAAUGCAGCUCAAGUCUGCAGAGUGUCCACCUCCAAAGGAAAACAUGACACCCCCCCCAAAAUUAAACUUGUUCCAUAACUUCUGAAAUUACAUCAAUCUGGAAUGACCCCAAAUGUCAUUUUUCAGCUUUCUCAAGCUGUAGCUCAGCCCUUCUCUGAACAGUUCUCUCCCCCACCUGCCUUUUACUACACAACUGCUCCCUCCUUUCCCCCAGUGAUUUCCCAGCCCAUCACAAUCUCCAUCACACUGCAGCCUUCCUUGAUGCCCCUCACCACGAGGAAGGCCAAGCCCCAGGCUCAGGAAUCAUCCUGUCACUGGCUGAAGAGCAGCAAUGUCUGUCAGUGACAGGGGCCCUUGGAUGUCUCUGAAUUCAUGGACAGAAGGGUCUGUCAGUGCCAGGGGCUCUUGGAUGUCUCUGUAUCCAUGGACAGAAGGUCUGUCCUUACAAAGGUUUCCAUAAUAUCUUUGUACCCAUGAGUAUGGAAUGAACACAGAGGGUGAAAGUGUCA
This is a non-coding RNA of Cyanistes caeruleus (blue tit), 1521 nucleotides long. Lineage: Eukaryota; Metazoa; Chordata; Aves; Passeriformes; Paridae. The record is from RefSeq and is a predicted model, not a curated record.